GCUUAUACUCGACCGUCAGCGGCACGUGCGAUCGCGCGUUUCGGCGCGCGGUCACGAAGCCCUGACGAGUAGGAGGGUCGCGGCGGUGAGCGCAGAAGGGCUGGCCGCGAGGCCGUCUGGAGCCGCCGUCGGUGCAGAUCUUGGUGGUAGUAGCAAAUACUCCAGCGAGGCCCUGGAGGACUGACGUGGAGAAGGGUUUCGUGUGAACAGCCGUUGCACACGAGUCAGUCGAUCCUAAGCCCUAGGCGAAAGCCGAUGUCGAUGCGGUGUGGAUUUAUCAUCUCUUUUCGGUUAUACGAGAAAAGCGAAACAAAUUGUUAAUUCGUUUUAACGUAUCGCGAGAGUCGUUAGUCGAACACACCCAUCGGGCGAAAGGGAAUCCGGUUCCUAUUCCGGAACCUGGCAGCGGAACCGUCAAAAAGUCGGGC
Molecule: ribosomal RNA, 428 nt
Filed under: Acalles pilula
Lineage: Eukaryota; Metazoa; Arthropoda; Insecta; Coleoptera; Curculionidae
Description: eukaryotic LSU rRNA
Rfam family: Eukaryotic large subunit ribosomal RNA
Source: RNAcentral